RNAcentral lists this long non-coding RNA (289 nucleotides) under Mytilus galloprovincialis (Mediterranean mussel). Lineage: Eukaryota; Metazoa; Mollusca; Bivalvia; Mytilida; Mytilidae. The record is from RNAcentral.
GAAUCAGAGUUCCUUCAGACACUUGUCAAAAACAAGAAGAGCAAAGAUGCCAGAUUAUUUAAUUUCACUUUCAGAUAUAUUGAUGAUGUUCUUUCCAUAAACAAUCCGAACUUUUCUGAUUCGGUUCCAAUAAUAUAUCCCCCAGAACUAGAAAUUGAAGAAACAACAUACACGGCUUCCUCCGCCUCAUUUUCAGACUUAUAUCUCGAAUUUGACUAACACAGUCAUCUCAGUACCGGACUAUAUGACAGACGAGACGGUUUUGAUUUUUGAAAUUAUAAAUUUCCCC